GCAUAAUCCUGUCACAACGUCAAUGUACCCCUGUAACAUAUUCAUCCUCACCUUGCGGCAUCUGCAGUAAUUGCCUUGCUAACAAACGUGGUAGUGCCGUUCAGCGGCCAUACGUCAAUGUGUCUGACUCCUGCAGCAUGUUGGGGGAUGCUGGCCGCUGCGGAUCCACACUAAUUUGCAACCCCAUGUCCGCCCACAGCAUUGAUGACGUUGGCGUGCGUGUGACGUCACGUAAAGGCUCGGGUACGACCAAUCGGAUCUGAGAAAGGCUUGUUUAAACUCCUUUUCCCUUUUCCUCAUUGCCCUGUCAGGGUUUCCCUAGUGGUUGUCCGAGAGUGUGUUCCUGAGCGUUUAUUUCUGGUUAUUGACUUUGGCUUCGUUUUGACUUCCCUGUAUUCUGGUAUCCCUGACUUUUGGCUUUCUCUUAUUGUUGUGUCCCAUUCUGUGUCUCUGACCUCGGCAAGUAUUCUGACUAUUCUUUGGUACAUUAAGUCCAGCCAUUUUAAGUCCUGGUAGGACGUUACCUUUUAGUUCUAGGUGUGAUACAAUUCUACGUGCUGGAUCAAUUAGUAAUCCCGACAACCCCAUUCUUAUCAGGUCCUACUCUAGCAACCCAAUGCCUGCUCUUAUGAGAUUUUCACUUAUUUGGGAAAUGCUUCCACCUGGGACUCUCUGCAGGGCAAGGUUAAAUAGAGCACUGGAAUGAGGCACCUGACAUGGCCUAUUUAUUU
Non-coding RNA from Pelobates cultripes (western spadefoot toad), 731 nucleotides. Lineage: Eukaryota; Metazoa; Chordata; Amphibia; Anura; Pelobatidae. The record is from the annotation of a GenBank genome assembly.